RNAcentral lists this ribosomal RNA (488 nucleotides) under uncultured bacterium. Its description in RNAcentral is "partial 16S ribosomal RNA". It matches the Rfam family "Bacterial small subunit ribosomal RNA", at positions 29 to 523 of the family's 1533-position model. The record is from RNAcentral.
AACGAACGCCGGCGGCGUGGAUAAGACAUGCAAGUCGAACGGGAUCAAGUUUGUAGCAAUACAUGCUUGGUCUAGUGGCGCACGGGUGCGUAACACGUGAGCAAUCUGCCGGGAAGUGGGGGAUAGCUCGCCGAAAGGCGAAUUAAUACCGCAUGUGACCAAGGAGGACAUCCUCUUGAAGUCAAAGCAGCAAUGCGCUUCCUGAUGAGCUCGCGGCCUAUCAGCUAGUUGGCGGGGUAACGGCCCACCAAGGCUAUGACGGGUAGCUGGUCUGAGAGUACGACCAGCCACACUGGAACUGCGACACGGUCCAGACACCUACGGGUGGCAGCAGUCGAGAAUUUUUCACAAUGGGGGAAACCCUGAUGGAGCGACGCCGCGUGGAGGAUGAAGGUCUUCGGAUUGUAAACUCCUGUCAUGCGGGAACAAGAAAGUGAUAGUACCGCAAGAGGAAGAGACGGCUAACUCUGUGCCAGCCGCCGCCGUAA